AUUUUAAAAACACAUUAUUAAAGAUCCAGUUCCCUCCUAAUAUUUUGUUCAUGACGGUGUUUCCCCCUUCCAAAUUUUUCAUUUCCCGCGCCAUGUCUUUCCGCCCAAUAUUUUGUUCUUCAUCUCUCACCCAAAGGGCAGACGACAAAGACACAACAGAUACGACGACCUCCUGCUUCUGGCGACUUCCUCCUCCUACUUCGAUACAAAAUCUAAAAACCCUAGCGUCGAUUUUUCUGAUUUUCUAUUCUUAAAUAGUUAAAUGUUUUGAUUUUUCAUUUCUUCGCUGAUUCCUCCUUGUUUUGUCGUAUACACACCUCAAAGACCCUUCUGCUAUAGGUUUUCUUCUCUUUCCAGCCUAUUACAUCAGCGAUCUCAUUGAUUUCUACACACCGGCGCGGUAAGGUAGUCUCUACUCUGGCGCAACAACCCCUUCGAACGACAUAAUUUCAUCAAGUCUAAAAUUCAUGUGGUUAAGUGGUUCAAAGAAUGGUAAUUAAUAAAAAUCCUCUCCUUCUGUCCUUUAAUUAUAUGUACUGUAUGUAAUGUAUGAUUGUGUGGAUGUGAUUGAUUCGCAAAAUCUAAUUGAUCAGUUUUGGUGCAAAUUGAAACAGGUAAAAAUGAGAUAGGGUGUUAGGGUUUAUCCAUUACACUCUAUCUGUUUGUUUAAAUGCCUAAGUCAUCUCCGAACAACAACAAGCAGGUAACCUUGUUAGUUGUGGCGUUCUACAUCUCUUGAUGCCUUUUUCCACUAAAACAAAUCCCCUUUUUUAUAUAGUGUACCACAAGAUGUUGUGUCAAUAGGUGGGCAAAUGCUUGUUUGGGUCCCAGAAGUUCAAUUAAAAGACAUGAAUGAAGAAAAGUCAAAAGAGAUGGAGGCAGUCACAACAGAUGGAUGUUUCAAUCCUCAAGGCUUGCAUUUGAGUUACUUUCUUAGGGUUUAUUCGUUUAUCAUCUAUAAAUUUAAAAUCUAGUUUGCAAACACUAUUGAAAUCAAGGUUUUGGAAAUCUAGCAAAUGGUUCCUUUUUUUUUUGAUUUAAUGGUGUGCUGUGUAGUUACUAUAUCCAAUUGAAAAUAGAUACAAGGAUGAGAAAGUUAGAAAAAAAAAAGCAAUAAUAGCUCUACAAACUUGUAUUCAACAAAAUCAUUUGGCUACAGAUUUACUACUUUUGAUGAGGAUGAAGAGGACAAUUUGUAUAUUUUGAACAGACAAAGGAUUGGGAGAAUAAUUUGUGUCCAAGCUCGCUACCUUUGGUUUGUAUCCAAUCUCUCUGCCUUCAGUCUUAUGAAAACGAGAAUAAUUUUGACAUAGGGAUGUAAACCGUUCCGAAACCUGCCCGAACCGAACCAGAACCAAAAAUGAAAACUGAUGGAUUAGGAGAUUCGAAACUGUACCAAAUACCACUAAUCGGUUCCGGUUUGGUUCCGUUUCACAAAUGCUUAAGGUUCCGCAACUAAAAUAAAGCUAAGUUAAACUAACCCCAUUGGAGCAAGACUACAAGAGUUGCAAGGAGCUAGAGCUCAAAUGAUUAUAUCUUUCUUUGUUUUCUAGAAUUAAAUGCAACUUAUUUGUUAAAUACAUUGAAUCUCGACCACUGUUGUAUUAUGACAUUAUAUGUUUUAAGAUUCAUGGGUUGAUUUU
Molecule: non-coding RNA, 1643 nt
Organism: Lactuca sativa (garden lettuce)
Lineage: Eukaryota; Viridiplantae; Streptophyta; Magnoliopsida; Asterales; Asteraceae
Source: RefSeq, a predicted model, not a curated record